This 433-nucleotide ribosomal RNA is filed under the name uncultured bacterium. RNAcentral describes it as "partial 16S ribosomal RNA". It matches the Rfam family "Bacterial small subunit ribosomal RNA", at positions 29 to 507 of the family's 1533-position model. The record is from RNAcentral.
AACGAACGCUGGCGGCAGGCCUAACACAUGCAAGUCGAGCGAGGACUUCGGUCCUAGCGGCGGACGGGUGAGUAACGCGUGGGAACGUGCCCUUUGCUUCGGAAUAGCCCUGGGAAACUGGGAGUAAUACCGGAUGAGCCCUUUGGGGAAAAGAUUUAUCGGCGAAGGAUCGGCCCGCGUUGGAUUAGGUAGUUGGUGGGGUAAUGGCCUACCAAGCCGACGAUCCAUAGCUGGUUUGAGAGGAUGAUCAGCCACACUGGGACUGAGACACGGCCCAGACUCCUACGGGAAGCAGCAGUGGGGAAUCUUAGACAAUGGGGGAAACCCUGAUCUAGCCAUGCCGCGUGAGCGAUGAAGGCCUUAGGGUUGUAAAGCUCUUUCAGCUGGGAAGAUAAUGACGGUACCAGCAGAAGAAGCCCCGGCUAACUCCGUG